UUUUUUAAUUGGGGUAGCCCCCAAAAUAUUGGGACAUAUAAAAAAAGAAAAAAAAGAAUAAGUGCACUUGAGUAUAACAAUGGCUGGGUGAGGCCGGUAUAAAUGUCUAUUCUGCACAAGGUACAGACAAGCCUGGUGGGAUCCAUGCCUGGUUCAUUUUAAUAAACGUGAGCUUGUCCAUGUUGGCCGUGGACAGGCGGCUGCGCUUGUCUGUGAUAACCUCAUGCUGAUCGCACGUCCCUGUGAUGGCAAAAACGCAUUCGGAUGUCUGCCCUAUCAAUGCUAUUUUCUGCGCCUACCAUGGUGACCACGGGUAAUGGGGAAUCAGGGUUCGAUUCCAGAGAGGGAGCCUGAGAAACGGCUACUACAUGCAAGGAAGGCAGCAGGUGCGCAAAUUACCCACUCCCGACGCGGGGAGGUAGUGACGAUAAAUAACAAUACACUACUCUUUCAAGGCCCUGUAAUUGUAAUGAGUCCACGUUAAAUCCUUUAACUUGGAUCAAUUGGAGGGCAAGUCUAGUGCAGAGCGACUGACCCGUGCGUGCUGCAGCUGAUA
Molecule: ribosomal RNA, 556 nt
Filed under: Pelobates cultripes (western spadefoot toad)
Lineage: Eukaryota; Metazoa; Chordata; Amphibia; Anura; Pelobatidae
Rfam family: Eukaryotic small subunit ribosomal RNA
Source: RNAcentral